UCUCGGCUCACUGCAACCUCCGCCCCACCAGUUCAAGUGAUUCUCCUGUCUCAGCCUCCCGAGUAACUGGGAUUACAGGUGUGCAUCACCACACCCAGCUAAUUUUUGUAUUUUUAGUAGAGACAGAGUUUCACCUUGUUGGCCAGGCUGGUCUCGAAUUCCUGACCUCAGGAGAUCUGCCCACCUCGGCCUCCCAAAGUGCUGGGAUUACAGGCGUGAGCCACGACACCCGGCCUAGGCUUCCUUCUUUAAAGACAAAUUUCCAGUGGGGCUCUGUAAGUAAUCCUCAUAUUUUCUCGUUGAGGAGUGUGGCCAGAGAAGGUGAGUCUUCUGCACGUAGCAGGGGGGAAAUGGUCAGGAGAUACUGUAAAAGCACUAAGAAAACCGGAAGGAAAAGGCCAGGCUCCAGGAGCACAGAGACUGGAUGGAUUCCUGCUUCCCUGUCACUCGGCUCUGUUCAGGCGGUGCAGUCACUUCCUUCACCUCAGUGUCCCUGUUUGUGCAAAUGAGGUGACUAUUGGUGCCGACCUACUUCCCAGGCAGUUUUGAAGAGAAGUGGCAAACGUUGAAGGGCGCACACUCUCCUUCCCCAAGCUCCCUCCCUCCCCACGUGUGCACCCAGAAGGAAAUAAAAGCCGUAAUUUGCACUGGCGAGUCGGCCCGCCUCGUCGAGGGUUCCGCUGAGCUGCUCACAAGGGCGUGCGGAGGCCCGCGGCCGGCCCUGGCCCCUGUGGUGGCAGCAGCUGGCUGGCUUCCCGGGCGGCUACCUCCAGCUGCAGCUGUCGGUGCUAUUUGCAGCUCUCCACAUCCUGAGAGCUGGACGCCGAGGACCGCUCCCUGGAGGGCGUGCGUAAAAUGCAGCAGCGGAGCGGUGAGGAGAUUACCGGAAAAACUGGGAGCGGAGUCAGGCUCGUUCUGGAGCAGGGAGAGGCUUGGGAAGUUGCGAAACGUUGACCUGCAGGGUCUUGAGGAACUGUCGGCCUGGGCUGUCCCCGUGGGUCAUUGAACAUUAAUCAGCCACCAGUCCUCGACCAAGCCAACCGAAAUAGAGUCAGCAGGCAGAAUGACGAAUACAGUUUGAAAGGGAACGAACUUACUCUUAUUCUCUCCUUGGAAAGGCCUUUCCAGACUCUCGAACUCACCCCUGUCACAUUACCCUGUUGUGUUAUCUUUGUGGGCCUGCGCAGCACCUGAAAUGAUCUGUCUUAGAGUCAUGGUCUUGCUAUAUCACCCAAGCUGGAGUGCAGUGGCAUGAUCAUAGCUCACUGCAACCUUGAACUCCUGGGCUGGAGCAAGCCUCCCAACUUGGCCUUCCAAAAUGCUGAGAUUGAUUACAGGUGUGAGCCACCUCACUGGGCCUCUUGCUAGUUUAUUGUUUAAAAAUCUUCCUCAGGGCCGGGUGCAGUGGCUCAUGCCUGUAAUCCCAGGCCUUUGGGAGGCUGAGAUGGGAGGAUCACUUGAUCCCAGGAGUUUGAGACCAGCCCGGGCAACAUGGAGAGAGCCUGUCUCUACAAAAAAUCAGCAAUUAGCUGGGCGUGGUGGUGUGCACCUGUAGUCCCACUACUCAAGAGGCCGAGGAGGGAGGAUCACUUGAACUCAGAGGGUUGAGGCUAUAGUGAGCCAUGAUUGAGUCAUUGCACUCCAGCCUGGGCGAUAGAGUGAGACUUUGUCUCAAAAAAGAAGAAUAAAUAAAUAAAUAAAUAAAUAAUAAAAGCCUUCCUUAGACUUUUUCCCUGGCACUUUCUGAAGUGAUGGCAGAUGGGUUUUAUUCUGGUUCUUAUAAUAGCUAAAAUUGGGUCACAGAAAGGAAUCUAGAUUAGAUGACAAGAUUAUUAUUUUCAUCUGAUAAUUUCCAUUACUCACCUAACUGCUGUCUUUCCUGGAAUUAAAGAGAAAAGAAACUAUGGAGGCCGGGAGCGGUGGCUCACGCCUGUAAUCCCAGCACUUUGGGAGUCCGAGGUGGGUGGAUUGCCUAAUGUCAGGAGUUCAAGACCAGCCUGACCAACAUGGUAAAAUCCCGUCUCUACUAAGAAUACAAAAAAAAAAAAGUAGCCGGGCGUGGUGGCGGGUGCCUGUAAUCCUAGCUACUCAGGAGGCUGAGGCAGGAGAAAUGCUUGAACCUGGGAGGCGGAGGUUGCAGUGAGCCAAGAUCGCACCAUUGCACUCCAGCCUGGGCAACAAGAGUGAAACUCCAUCUCAAAAACAAACAAACAAACAAAAACUAUGGAGACCCAGGUUCCAGGGCCCUUGGGUGGAGAAUAAAUUUUAGGAAUUCCUUUGGAUAUCUGACAGUAGAAGCUAUUCCUUGUAAGUCUGUUGCUGUGAAAUCACAACAUAGCUCAUUUAGCAGCGGGACAGCCCAUCUCUGGAAAAAAAAUGGUGUGAGGGUGGAAUUACGCCUUGGGAGGCCAAGGAGGGAGGAUUGCUUGAGGCCAGGAAUUCAAGACCAGCCUGGACAACAUAGCAAGACUCUGUCUCUACAAAAAAUAAUUUUAAAAAAAUUAGGCAUGGUGGUGCAUGCCUGUAGUCCUAACCUACUUGAGAGGCUGAGGUAGGAGGACUGCUUGAACCCAGGAAGUUUAGACUGUAGUGAGCCAUGAUUGUGCCACUGCACUCCAGCCUGGGUGACAGAGCAAGACUCUGUCUCAUAAAAAAAAAAAUGAAUAAAUAACAUAGAAAAAAAGAUAUUCAUAAUAAAAUAAAAUGGAAAUAUUUUGAUGAUUUCUUAGUGAGAUUUUAAGAAUUGUUAUUAAUAGCCUACUAAGACCUAGAGGUAAGAACAAAUUAGAUUUGGCCUGAAAAUGAAGAUGUAGCAAAAAACAAUAAAGAAAAAAAUGGCAUCUCUGUUUUUUGUUUUUUGUUUUUUUUUUCAGACGGAGUCUUGCUCUUUUGCCCAGGCUAGCGUACAGUGGCAUGAUAUCAGCUCUCUGCAACCUCUGCCUCCUGGGUUCAAGCAAUUCUCCUGCCUCAGCCUCCCAAGCAGCUGGGAUCACACGCAUGCACCACCAUGCACUGCUAAAUUUUAGUAUUUUUAGUAGAGACAGGGUUUCAUCACAUUGGCCAGGCUGGUCUCAGACACCUGGCCUCAAGUGAUCUGCCUGCCUCGGCCUCCCAAAGUGCUGGGAUUACAGGCGUGAGCCACCGCGCCCUGCCAAAAUCAAUAUUAUUUUGAUUUUUUAGUAGAGACUGGCCUGGGUCAGUUGAUUCUUAAGUACAGUUAUUUAAAAACCUUUAGGACCUUAACAAUUUUUUUAAAAACUCCCAAGUUUUAUAUUUUUAUUUAUUUAUUUAUUUAUUUUUGAGACAGAGUUUCACUCUUUCGCCCAGGCUGGAAUGUAGUGGUGUGAUCUUGGCUCACUGCAACCUCUGCCUCCCGGGUUCAAGCGAUUCUCCUGCCUAAGCCUCCCGAGUAGCUGGGACUACAGGUGCAUGCCACCAUGCCGAGCUAAUUUUUAUAUUU
RNAcentral lists this long non-coding RNA (3460 nucleotides) under Homo sapiens (human). RNAcentral describes it as "HSALNT0199411". Lineage: Eukaryota; Metazoa; Chordata; Mammalia; Primates; Hominidae. The record is from RNAcentral.